Molecule: unclassified non-coding RNA, 1542 nt
Filed under: Hevea brasiliensis (rubber tree)
Lineage: Eukaryota; Viridiplantae; Streptophyta; Magnoliopsida; Malpighiales; Euphorbiaceae
Source: RNAcentral
UAAUAAUUAUAUUUUAAUUUGUUUUUUGUCUACCAAAUUUAUUGUUAUAUAUAUAUAUAUAUAUUAUCUUUCGAACAGUUGAAACACAAGCACAAUGGCUUUAGUGACGGGAAUAGACUACUACCAAAAUUAUAGCAAUGUUGAUAGUUUUUAUAUAUAUAUUGGAUCGAAGAAUUUAUGUAUAUUAAACUGUAAAUAGGGCCAAUAAUGGCUAGCUAAUGAUUUUUAUUUUAUUUUUAUUUUUUGGCUUGUUAUGAGAAGGAUCUUGUGUGGAAUCACCACAUGCAAUUACUUGCAAUUGAGCUCACCCAAUUGAUUUAGAGAGAUUUUAGAUAGAUUCAGUCUAAUAUGUUAUUAGUAAACUAAGUCAAAUAAAUCACUUUAAAUAAUUUAUAUUUAUAUGUAAUUAUAUAAACAUAAAAAAUAAUUAAAAAUUAAAUUACAUAUUUAUUCAUAUUAUAUUAUCAUAAAAUGAUUUAAUUAAAAUACGUCGUGAUAGACUAAGUAUAAUUUAAAAAAAUCCCUCAUUUAACUGAAAGUUUUAUUAUAAGUUGUGUAUCAUCCAUUAUUAGUUGUUGUAUAUUUUGUUUACUGAGAUCUCAAUUCUUACCUUAUCGCUCAAAAUUUUCUUUCUUUCUUCUCGUAAGCCAAACACAACACUAAUUAUUUCAGAAAAUUUUAUUCUAGUUAAUUUGCAGCAUUAAAAUGGCUACUUAAUUAAUUUGUAUGUACAAGAUCUACACAUUAUUCUCUUUAUGUGUUAUAUAUCGGUUUUUCUCCAAUCAUUACCACAAAUUACUAAAUGAAGCUGCGGAAAAAUUGCAUGGCUUCUAAAUUAUACAUAUUAUUGAAGAUUGCUAAUUAAAGAAAUUAUCAAUAAUUAUAUUAUACUAAAUCUUUUUCUCCCUCUAUGUCUCUUCCGAAUUUAUUUAAUUCCUGAAAAAUUAAUAAUAUAUGUGGAAUUCUUGAUAAUAUACUUGAAGUGCAUAUACUAGCUACUUAGAAAAGAUUUAAUAAUCAUGAAUUCUUGAUUCUAAGUUAUGUGCAUGUGCUAUAAAAGCUUAGCAUCAAAACCAGAACCAGAAGGACAUGUGUUAUAGAAAGAAAGAUAGAAGGAAAGGAAACUAAAGACUAAAAAGUUAGAUCAGAAAAAGAAAGAAAGAAGGAAAGCAUGGAGUUUACUUAGCUGGGGGCUUUGCUGGAUCAGCAGCAAGAAGAUUCUCGAGUCUAUGUAAAUUGUUGGUGUUGUCGUUUGGAUCGAUCCCAGGGUCCUUGGAAGAAAGAUUAAGCUUCAAAUCCAUUGUCUCAGAGAAGCCUCUCUUUCUUGCCACCUCUGCUUCGCUCGCUCCACCAUUAUUUCCUGGUAACCCUAACCUCAGCUCAGUCUCCUCGAACCCCAUUUUUGUCUUGUCUACUGCUUCCAUGGCGUCUGUUUUUAUGGUUCUUGAAAUGGUUGAGAAAAUGGGAAAUGUAAAGUUUUGUUUGUGAGAAAUGAUAAUAAUAAUACCGAAUCAAAGGGAAGGUUUUGUUAAGAGUUUGUGU